GCAUAUCAAUAAGCGGAGGAAAAGAAACUAACAAGGAUUCCCCUAGUAGCGGCGAGCGAAGCGGGAAGAGCUCAAAUUUAUAAUCUGGCACCUUCGGUGUCCGAGUUGUAAUCUCUAGAAGUGUUUUCCGCGUUGGACCGCACACAAGUCUGUUGGAAUACAGCGGCACAGUGGUGAUACCCCCGUACACGGUGCGGACGCCCAGCGCUUUGUGAUACACUUUCAAUGAGUCGAGUUGUUUGGGAAUGCAGCUCAAAUUGGGUGGUAAAUUCCAUCUAAAGCUAAAUAUUGGCGAGAGACCGAUAGCGAACAAGUACCGUGAGGGAAAGAUGAAAAGCACUUUGGAAAGAGAGUUAACAGUACGUGAAAUUGUUGGAAGGGAAACGCUUGAAGUCAGACUUGCUUGCCGGAGCUUGCUUCGGUUUGCAGGCCAGCAUCAGUUUUCCGGGGUGGAUAAUGGUGGUUCGAAGGUAGCAGCCUCGGCUGUGUUAUAGCUUUCCACUGGAUACAUCCUGGGGGACUGAGGAACGCAGCGUGCUUUUUGCGAAGGUUUCG
Molecule: ribosomal RNA, 555 nt
Filed under: Rhodotorula kratochvilovae
Lineage: Eukaryota; Fungi; Basidiomycota; Microbotryomycetes; Sporidiobolales; Sporidiobolaceae
Description: partial large subunit ribosomal RNA
Rfam family: Eukaryotic large subunit ribosomal RNA
Source: RNAcentral